RNAcentral lists this ribosomal RNA (274 nucleotides) under uncultured bacterium. Its description in RNAcentral is "partial 16S ribosomal RNA". It matches the Rfam family "Bacterial small subunit ribosomal RNA", at positions 523 to 796 of the family's 1533-position model. The record is from RNAcentral.
AUACGGGGGGAGCAAGCGUUGUCCGGAAUCAUUGGGCGUAAAGGGUGCGUAGGCGGGCUAUUAAGUCUGAUGUGAAAGCCCACGGCUUAACCGUGGAGAGUCAUUGGAUACUGAUAGUCUUGAAUCACAGAGGGGCUAGUGGAAUUCCAGGUGUAGCGGUGAAAUGCGUAGAUAUCUGGAGGAACAUCGGUGGCGAAGGCGACUGGCUGGCUGUUGAUUGACGCUGAGGCACGAAAGCGUGGGUAGCAAACAGGAUUAGAAACCCCAGUAGUCC